Long non-coding RNA from Mercenaria mercenaria, 6482 nucleotides. RefSeq lists it as uncharacterized. NCBI's taxonomy places the organism in Eukaryota, Metazoa, Mollusca, Bivalvia, Venerida, Veneridae. The record is from RefSeq and is a predicted model, not a curated record. The transcript is spliced from 3 exons.
UUACGUUCGAAAAACUUGGUUUCUCGAACAAAACUAUGAUUUUAGGUCAUUAUCCUAUGUUCACGAGCUUGAACCUGUGUUUACCGUCGUAAACCCAUGUUCACUGUCGUAAACGUAAGUUCUCGAUCGUUAACAUAUGGUUUACACUCGUGAACCCUGGUCUACUCCCGUAAACAUUUUGCAUUUAUUCAUUAGUUUACAAAGUUUGGAAGAAAUGUAGGUAGGUAGGUUUCACUUCUGCCCUAUGGUUCUUCAUGAAUGCAGAGAGCAAGGCCAUGAUUUUUAAGAAUUGGAGCUUAAUUUCUGUCUGAUUAAAUCCUUAUACUCGAGGCUCCCCAGAAAAAUUGUUAUCGACAAUUUUAUUUUGUGUUUUAUAAUUGUUACGCAAUACUUUGAGGUUUCAUUUAGAAAAAUAUUUGGUAAAAUGAAUUCUGUGCGAUUGUUUUGCGCAAUGGCUAUAGCAUUGAAAUUUGUCUCUGUUUCAGCUGGCGGAAAAAAAGACAUAAUUUAUACACAAUGUACAAAGAAAAAAAACCCAAACAAACAACAACACGGUAAAAGUCGUUUAAAGAUGAAUUACAGUGCGAAAAUGUAUUAACUUCAGGACUGUAUCAAGUUAAUGCAAUUGUUAAACAUUACCAAUACGGGUCCGCUAUCUUAAUAUAACCUGAAAAAAGUUGGAAAUGUGUCUUUAAGCAAAACUCGCUUACAUCUACGCCCCCACCCUUUAAGCAAAUAAUUGGUGACAAAGCACAUUUUACAUUAUAUCUUUCAGUAUUCGUCAGAAUAUUUAAAACGAAUUUAGUGUAAAAAUAGCCUUAAAAAGGUAUAAUACAUGUGGUCAAUUGUUUCUUCUCCAUUACUGUGUCAAUUCUAUGCAGCGAUUACGUCCCAUAGUACCUACAGCAAAUGAUCUGAAAGAAUAGACUCUUAAAACUUAGGCCCUAAAUAUCAGACCUGACAUAACUCAUAUCACUUUAUGUUCAUUUUAAUUGAUAUUUCUUAUUUUCCAUGUUAUGUCGGGUCGUCGAAUAAUGCGCAGUACGACUCAUAUCGAUGGUUGUUUCUCGGAACCAGCGGUUUUUAGUUAGCUACUUAUAGACAGGGGUCAUAAUAUAUAACGAAGCGGUCAACAGUGUUGAGUUACAAAAAGUUCCAUUCAUACGGACAUUUCAUUCAUAGAGGCAAAUUAAUUUACAGCCAUUAUGUAAUAUUUUCUAAUGUUAUCUUUGAAGUAUUUACAAUUAGAAAAAUAAAACAUUAUUAUAAUAUGUUUGAGCAAAUAGAUCUAUUGAAACAGGUAAGUUUAACAAUCUUUAUACAACUCUAUGGCAAAACUGAUAAACAUGGCGGACUAUUUGAAUUGCGCAUGAAAUUAUAUUUUGUAUUGUCAGUCUCAGCACCUGUUGAACAUUGUGGAAACUCGAUAUAAAUUAUGGUUAUAAUAGUCUGGCGAAUAUCACCAGCCUAAAAUCCCCACUCACGCAGUGAUUACCUCCCCUUACCAUACAAACUCUUUGAAACCAUCCAGAGUAUCCAACUGUAGCACUCCUUAGCAAAAAGAACUAUAUUUUUUGAGCUAUGAGCAUAUUACAAACAAUAAAAUCCACUAUUUUGGCUAUUUCAAGGGCCAUAACUCUGUAAUAAGCGCUAAGAUUCUUAAGAAGAAUGCAAAGUGCACGGUAAUGUUAUGAUAAAGAAUCUAGCAAAGUUUCAUGAAUUUACAUCAAAUACUUCUACAGCUGGGCACAUAAUAGGUGAAAAUAUGCAUAUUUUAACUAUUUCAGGGGCCAUAACUUAGAAACAGGGAAAGAAGCCAGCCAAAAAAUAAGAACUGUGCAAGUUUAUAUCAUGAUAAAGACUCAUGCCAGUUUUCAUCCAUCUAUAUCAUAUGCUUUUUGAGCUAGGUGCAUCACAAGGUGAAAAUGUUCAUUUUUGACUAUUUCAGGGGCCAUAAUUCUGAAAAUAGGGAGCAGAGGCAGAUAAAAAAUAAGAUAUGCGCAAGUUCAUAUCAUGAUAAAAACUCGUGCAAGGUUUAAUCAAUUUAUAUUAAACAUUUUUUUAGUUAGGCGUGUCACAAGGUGAAAAUGUGCAUUUUUGACUAUUUCUGGGGCCAUAACUCUGAAUAUAGGGGGCUGACCCAGAUGAAAAAUAGGAGAUGCGCAAGUUCAUAUCAUGAUAAAGACUCAUUUAAAGUUUGAUAAAUUUAUAUUGAAUACUUUUUGAGCUAGGCACGUCACAAGGUGAAAAUAUGCAUUUUUUACUAUUUCAGGGGUCAUAACACUGAAAAUAGGGGGUAGACCCAGAUGAAAAAUAGAGGAUGCACAAGUUCAUAUCAUGAUUAAGAAUCAUGCAAGGUUUCAUGAAUCUACAUCAAAUACCUAUUGAACUAAGCAUGUCACAAGGUGAAAAUGUGCAUUUUUGACUAUUUCAUGGGCCAUAACUCUGGAAAUAGAGGGUGACGAAAAAUAGGAGGUGCACAAGUUCAUAUCAUGAUAAAGACUCUUGCAAGGUUUCAUCAAUUUAUAUCAAGUACUUUUUGAACUAGGCUCGUCACAAAUUUUGGGACGCACGCACGGACAAGACCAAUUCUAUAUGCCCCAACCACUCAUUGGGCGUGUGGGGUGGGGAGGGGGUCACAAAAACAUCCAAAUAUUAUUAAAUGAUGACUGAAAACAUUAAUUUCCAAAUACUUUUAUAGUUUAUAAUAAACAUUAGAAGUUGACAUAAUAACUGGAUGAAUAGAACACUUCUAAAACUGAAUUUAUUAUGUUUGGCAGCAGACCUCAAUUGACCAAAUGUUUUACAAAUUCCAUUAACAUUGCUGGUGAUGAUGUCAAACAUGAAUUUAGCACAAUUAGAUUAUCUCGGUGCAUUUCUUGAUGAAACCUUGAACUUUAAAGAUCACAUAGAUCGCAAAUGUCGUCGGCCAUAUUGAAUUACCUACAGUUAAGAACAUCUGAAAAUACUUAACAAAAGCAGCCACUGAAAUUUUAGUUUUGUCUCUAGUUAUUUCACAUCUGGAUUAUUGCAAUGUCAUACAGUAUGGUGUAGCUAACUAUGAAGUGCGUAAGAUGCAACGUAUUCAAAACGUGUGCGCAAAACUUGUCCUUAACAGGAGGAACAUGAGGAAAGGACAACGUUCACUUAAGCCUUAUAUGGCCUAAGUAAUUUUGAAAAUUUUCAAAUUGGCUAAAAUUUGAAACAUUAUCAAUUGUUUGCUACCAGAUUUUUUAUCUACUGUAAGGAAUUAAGUUUUUUGUAAACAGAUUUAUUAUUUUGUUCAACACAUAUCACUGAACAUUGCUGAAAUCGCAAAUUUUUAAGAAAAUGGGCAUUUUUUGCCAUAUUUAGGUCACAUAGGAAUAUUUUUAGUAGUGAGCACACUCAAGGACCACAAAAAUAUUUUGACCCUAGGUCCAGCUUCUUUCACAGAAUUUAUGGUCAUUUUUUGAUUGUGGUCAACAGCUGUGCUCAUAGUGAAAAUUUCAUAUUUGUUUAAAAAUUCGGUUAAAAUGCGAAGGUUUCCCAUACCCAUAAUGGUAAACCUAUUUUCAGUUAUGUCAAAUAUUUUCUUCUAUAAUGAAUAUAUUGUAAAUUAUUUCGAACAGUUUGAUAAAAGAAUACUUCUUGAUGAAAGAAAACAUGUUCUUUACUCCAUUUGGAAACGUUCAGUUUUUAGGCCAUUUUGAGGCAAAAGUGAACCAUCUCCAAAGUUUGACAGUUCUAACCAAGCAUUGUACCACUUACAUUGGUUGCUGGUGAAAGCAAGAAUUGAGUUCAAGCUACUCUCUUUCAUGUAUAGCUGUCACACUGGCAGAGCACCUCUGUACUUAACAGAAUUGCUUACCGAGUAUAUUCCUCGUAGACAAGGUUUGAGAUCGUCUGAAAAUUCUGAAUGUCGUAAUGUUGUACCAUACAACAAGUGCAAAACAUUCAAUGAUAGAAGUUUCUGUACUAUUGGUCCAAAAAUUUGGAAUGAACUGCCAUUAGAACUAUACAAAAGUAAAUCACUUGACACAUUAAAAAAAAAAUCUUAAGACACUGUAUUUCAGAGAUUUCGCAGCAUUGUUUUUGUAGUAAAGUCAAGUUUCACUUUAUUUAAACUGAUAAAUGGAUUCACAGUCAUUUAUUUAUAGUCAGGUCGUAUAUCGAUGAUCAGUACUCCGUAUUCCGUUGUAUCAUGUUUGUACUCUGUGUUUCGUUGUAUCAUAUUGUAUCGUACUCCGUGUUUGUGUUAUCAUGUUCAGUCAUGUGUCCACUCGUGCAUUUGAACUUGUUUUGUAGAUAGGAGACGUUUUCAUUGGUCAGUUAUCUUCAUGCACAAAUAAUAACUUUUGGCGCAAACUAACAAUUGCACGGCCCUCUAUUCUUCAUUCUUGAGAAUCAUUGUCCGAGUGAACACAAGUUACUCUAGAACUAUUGUUAUACUGUAGUAAUUUAAUGUCCUUACCUUUGGACAAUUUACUAUGUCAUAAGUGUACCUUUGCUAGUCGAUUCUGGUAAGAUAUUUUCUUUAGUAUUUGUUCUUUUUAAAUGCAAUGAUAACUUAUUUACCGCGAGAGAUCUAUUUUGUGAAAUCUGUAUUUUUCACAUUCUGCUAUUGUUGUAUUGUAAUUCGUAUUUUCUACGUUCAUGAUUUUACUGUUUUAUGUUGUAGGUUUUUCUCUACACGUACUAUACUGGUACUGUCCAAUAAAUUGAAGAAACCUCAAAAUAGUUGUGUUAUACAAACUACCUUUACUACAUUUUAAAUAUUUGAUAACUGUUUAUCAUGCGAAAACAGCAGGUGUGGGCCAUUCCUCCAGUGAUGACAUUGAGAUCCUUCAGGAUGCUGUUCCUGGAGGCAAUUUCAAACCUGAGUGGACAGUGGACAACUUACAGUCAUAGCCAUAGACCUUGAAACUACAGACCUAAAUAAGAAUCGAUGUUUAGAUUGAUAAAUAUGUGGUUAUGUUAUGCCAUACAUCUCACAGCUAGCAGUAGUGGAGGUAGACCUUGGUACCCAGUUUGCAGUUUGUAGCAAACCCAAGAACAGCGGUUACAGCUGAAUUAAGCUCAAAAGGUGACUGGUAUAUGUGUUGAUGACAAUUGCGGUAUGUUUGUUAAUGGAAAACUGGAAGUGUGUAUUCAUAUUCAUAGUGUGCAGUUGGUUUGAACAGUUUUCAAAUGUUUGUCUUGUUGCACAUACUGGAAGGAGAUUUGACUUUCAAAUAGAUCUACUCAUGACAGCUGUAUUGAAAACCAAAACCAAAGAUGUUUUUCUCGGAUCAGAUCAGUAUCUGGCUUUCUGGACAUGUUGUUUGUCAGCUAGUGUUUAGGAAGAAAUUUCCAGGUCAGUUAAUGAAACAGGAGGACCAUGUAAGACAUCAUUUUAGUCUGACAUAUGACGCCCACAAUGCAGAAGCUGAUGUGGAGGCUCUUGGAUGUCCUCUUGGACUGUGUCAAGUUUUGGAUCUCCUGAACGUCAGUUUUUCUCCUGUGGCUUUGAAGUAUUCUUUACAGAUCAACAUUGAAAAGUUUAAAAUAUGUGAUUUUUUUAUCUGUUUGCAAGCAGCUGACAGUGAACAGUUUAUUGUAUGAGAUGGAGUGAACAUCAAACUUUACUGACCUGCCUUAAUAUUCAAAAAGGCCAAUAGGUCAGUAAAUUAAAUGUUGUGGUUCAUAGACUUGAAUAUUCACCAAUGAUAUCAUACAGUGUUUUAUUUUAUGACUACACUUAAAAAAAGAGAAAAUGUCCAUACACAGUUAUACUAAAAUGUAAUGAGGCUGCUGAUUGAAUUACAAGACAUGAUUGGGUGGAGUUUGACAGGUCUAUAUUUCUUACAGCGUGAAAGUUUGUUUUGAGGAAUAGUUGCUCCUUCAGGUUUGAUUACAAGACUGACACUUUUUGCAGCGAAUAUCACUUUCUAUGGACCUCCAUCUGACCAGUUAUUGUGUAAUUUAUGAGUCAUAAAAUAAAAGAAAAUAUUGCUGGCUCUGGUUUGAAUGGACAUCUGAAAACUAUAUUUAGGCAGUCAGGUGAAGAUGGACUUAGAGAUAUAUUUAAAGCUGAUAAUGAGAUGGAUUUAAAUGAGAUUCUAACAUGACCAGUUCCAUUUUCCUCUUAAACAAAGAAGGUUGAAAACUAUGUGUUAUUAUACAACAAUUCACUGUUCUGACAUCACAUUUAUUACGUAUAUCCACCUUUGUGAUAUAAUUCCUUCACAUCUGAACUCCAAACAUGUUUGUUAUUCAACGACAAAUUACUGAAUGAGAUAAAACAAGAGCUGUCUCCAUAGGAUGACACAUGCCCCUGAUGGCACUUUAAAUGAAUAGUUAUGGCCGAUGUUCGAGUUUAGGACCUUUGACCUACGGAGCUGGGUCUUGCGCGCGACACGUCGUCUUACUGUGUCACACAUUUAUGCAUAGUUAUUUUAAAAUCCAUGCAUGAAUGACAAAGAUAUGGACCUGACACGCCCAUCAAUGCACUAUCAUGAAAA